Molecule: ribosomal RNA, 1911 nt
Filed under: Helicobacter pylori FD568
Lineage: Bacteria; Pseudomonadati; Campylobacterota; Epsilonproteobacteria; Campylobacterales; Helicobacteraceae
Description: bacterial LSU rRNA
Rfam family: Bacterial large subunit ribosomal RNA
Source: RNAcentral
UUAAAACAAGCUUUUAAGAGCAGAUGGCGGAUGCCUUGCCAAAGAGAGGCGAUGAAGGACGUACUAGACUGCGAUAAGCUAUGCGGAGCUGUCAAGGAGCUUUGAUGCGUAGAUGUCCGAAUGGGGCAACCCAACUAAUAGAGAUAUUGGUUACUCUAAUUUAGAGAGCGAACCUAGUGAAGUGAAACAUCUCAGUAACUAGAGGAAAAGAAAUCAACGAGAUUCCCUAAGUAGUGGCGAGCGAACGGGGAAAAGGGCAAACCGAGUGCUUGCAUUCGGGGUUGAGGACUGCAACAUCCAAGAGAACGCUUUAGCAGAGUUACCUGGAAAGGUAAGCCAUAGAAAGUGAUAGCCUUGUAUGCGACAAGGCGUUCUUAGGUAGCAGGAUCCAGAGUAGGCCAGGACACGAGAAAUCCAGGUUGAAGCCGGGGAGACCACUCUCCAACCCUAAAUACUACUCUUUGAGCGAUAGCGAACAAGUACCGUGAGGGAAAGGUGAAAAGAACCGCAGUGAGCGGAGUGAAAUAGAACCUGAAACCAUCUGCUUACAAUCAUUCAGAGCCCUAUGAUUUAUCAGGGUGAUGGACUGCCUUUUGCAUAAUGAUCCUGCGAGUUGUGGUAUCUGGCAAGGUUAAGCGAACGCGAAGCCGUAGCGAAAGCGAGUCUUAAUAGGGCGAUUAAGUCAGAUGCUGCAGACCCGAAGCUAAGUGAUCUAUCCAUGGCCAAGUUGAAACGCGUGUAAUAGCGCGUGGAGGACUGAACUCGUACCCAUUGAAACGGGUUGGGAUGAGCUGUGGAUAGGGGUGAAAGGCCAAACAAACUUAGUGAUAGCUGGUUCUCUUCGAAAUAUAUUUAGGUAUAGCCUCAAGUGAUAAUAAAAGGGGGUAGAGCUCUGAUUGGGCUAGGGCUGCUCGCCGCGGUACCAAACCCUAUCAAACUUCAAAUACCUUUUAUCGUAUCUUGGGAGUCAGGCGGUGGGUGAUAAAAUCAAUCGUCAAAAGGGGAACAACCCAGACUACCAAAUAAGGUCCCUAAGUUCUAUUCUGAGUGGAAAAAGAUGUGUGGCUACUCAAACAACCAGGAGGUUGGCUUAGAAGCAGCCAUCCUUUAAAGAAAGCGUAACAGCUCACUGGUCUAGUGGUCAUGCGCUGAAAAUAUAACGGGGCUAAGAUAGACACCGAAUUUGUAGAUUGUGUUAAACACAGUGGUAGAAGAGCGUUCAUACCAGUGUUGAAGGUAUACCGGUAAGGAGUGCUGGAGCGGUAUGAAGUGAGCAUGCAGGAAUGAGUAACGAUAAGAUAUAUGAGAAUUGUAUCCGCCGUAAAUCUAAGGUUUCCUACGCGAUGGUCGUCAUCGUAGGGUUAGUCGGGUCCUAAGCCGAGUCCGAAAGGGGUAGGUGAUGGCAAAUUGGUUAAUAUUCCAAUACCGACUCAUGGAGCGUGAUGGGGGGACGCAUAGGGUUAAGCGAGCUAGCUGAUGGAAGCGCUAGUCUAAGGGCGUAGAUUGGAGGGAAGGCAAACCCACCUCUGUAUUUGAAACCCAAACAGGCUCUUUGAGUCCUUUCAGGACAAAGGGAGAAUCGCUGAUACCGUCGUGCCAAGAAAAGCCUCUAAGCAUAUCCAUAGUCGUCCGUACCGUAAACCGACACAGGUAGAUGAGAUGAGUAUUCUAAGGCGCGUGAAAGAACUCUGGUUAAGGAACUCUGCAAACUAGCACCGUAAGUUCGCGAUAAGGUGUGCCGUAGCAAUGCGGUCUCAGCAAAGAGUCCCUCCCGACUGUUUACCAAAAACACAGCACUUUGCCAACUCGUAAGAGGAAGUAUAAGGUGUGACGCCUGCCCGGUGCUCGAAGGUUAAGAGGAUGCGUCAGUCGCAAGAUGAAGCGUUGAAUUGAAGCCCGAGUAAACGGCGG